This 308-nucleotide unclassified non-coding RNA is filed under the name plant metagenome. Its description in RNAcentral is "partial contains 5.8S ribosomal RNA, internal transcribed spacer 2, and large subunit ribosomal RNA". The stretch from base 1 to 106 matches the Rfam family "5.8S ribosomal RNA", at positions 49 to 154 of the family's 154-position model. The record is from RNAcentral.
CGAAAUGCGAUAACUAAUGUGAAUUGCAGAAUUCAGUGAAUCAUCGAAUCUUUGAACGCACAUUGCGCCCGCCAGCACUCUGGCGGGCAUGCCUGUUCGAGCGUCAUUUCAACCCUCAGAACCCCUUGCGGGAUCUGGCGUUGGGGAUUGGCAUCCAGCCAGCCCCGAAAUCUAGUGGCGGUCCCUCCGCGACCUCCCCUGUGCAGUAGCGAUACCUCGCAGCGGGACAGCGGUCUGACCACGCCGUAAAACCCCCAACUUCUCAAGGUUGACCUCGAAUCAGGUAGGAAUACCCGCUGAACUUAAGC